RNAcentral lists this long non-coding RNA (9247 nucleotides) under Gossypium raimondii (Peruvian cotton). RNAcentral's name for it is "long non-coding RNA (GRAI_LNC007013)". Lineage: Eukaryota; Viridiplantae; Streptophyta; Magnoliopsida; Malvales; Malvaceae. The record is from RNAcentral.
CGCCACCCAAAUCUCAACGGUGGGUCCCCAGUUUCCGGAUCGAUUUCCGGAGGAGAAGACGACGACGACGACGACCGCCUACAGAAGAAGCAUAAACCAUUGCUUGGUUUCAAUUCUUCUCGUACUGAUCAGCAUUAUCCGAUUCCUUCGGCGCUCAAUUCGGCCUCCUAUGGGUCCGAUUCGAAUGCCGAUGGUGACAAUCCCGACGCGUCACUCAAGCGUCGCAAGUUUACCGCCGCCAAGGCUGGAUCUGAUCAAAUGGUGAUAAAUCAUACAUUAAUAUAUAGAUUUCGCGGGUUUUUUAAAGUCCUGGUUUUGAAACAGAAUCAAGAAAUUGAUUUUCCUACUUUAUUUGGAUAUUUUAUUUUAGGGUUUUAUUUUGGGAAUCGAAAAUAGCUUCUCAUGCGCCGAAAUUUUAUAAUUGCAACAGAGAUGAACGAAUGAGUUUGACUAAGUCAUGUACCUUUUUUUUAUUGGAUAUUGUUUCAACUUUUUGAUUUUCGGCUAAACUUCAAGUUGUUUUGAACAUAGUUUGUCUUCCUUUUCUUUCCCGAUUUACGAAUUUUCCAUUAUUAUUUUAUUAUUUCUUGUCUUGGAUUUAAUCCUUCCUUUAUUUUUGUGCAAAAUAAUAGAUGCACAGACCAUCAUGUCUGUAAAGCUUCAGUUUGUCUUUUCUUUUCUUUAAUAAUAAUACUUCAAAGUUUUUGUUUUUGUUUUUUUUUUUUGGUACUUGCUUUGCAUUGUUGUAGCUUUUUACUGUAACUUUCCUCAGUGAUUCUUCAAUAAUCAACGCAAGUAUCUCUUUUAAUAGUUUUUUUUUCAUUUAAUUUGGGAGUUAAAUAAAUAUAUGUAUUGACACGAGAGUUUAUCUUAUUUACAGGGAGAAAAGUUAUCGAAAGUGACGGACACUCUUCAUGGUAUAAGUCUAUCUCGGUUUUCAUGAAAAAAAGGCAUUUCUGGGAAUUCUUAGAAAAAAAGAAGUGUUGGGCUUUGUUAACUAUAUUAAUUUUAUUUCAUUUAUAUGUGGACAGGUUCACCGGUGGAGUCUGGCCCCACCCCCACGACGCCUUUGCCAGACAAAAAGUUGUUGGUGUUCAUUCUUGACAGGCUUCAAAAGUAUUUGUUAUUUUUGGCUCAUUUGAUUUUUUUUUUCUUAGUUUAUCUUCCGUUUGACGGGUUUUUAUCCUUUUUACUUAAUCUACUUCCAGGAAAGAUACUUAUGGGGUAUUCUCUGAGCCAGUAGAUCCUGAAGAGGUGCAUUUUGUUUUUCAUUCUUGCAUAAAUCUAGAUUACUGAAAAGUGAAAUCACGGUUCCUGAUAUAAUGUUUGAUUGGUCUUGAUACAGCUUCCAGAUUACCAUGAUAUUAUUGCACACCCAAUGGACUUUUCGACAGUCAGGAAAAAACUUGAUGAGGGAGCUUAUAUUACCUUAGAACAAUUUGAGGUUUGUUUUGCAAGCAUUCUCUUUGCUAAUGUGGAUAAAAUGUUCGUCUAUCCGUCUUCCUCCUGACAUAGUGGAGAGGGAAAGCCAACUAAGUUGUUUGACUGCAUUACUGUCAAUGGUGAUUAAGUUUCUGAUGUUAUUUUCUGGAUUUCUCUGGUUGAUGUGUGUUUUUGUAGCAAUUGUGUAUGGCAAGUCAAGUGUGUGUUGUCAGUCAAGCAAGUCCUUGAAGAAUACUGGAGGCAUGCUAUGCCUUUUGAGAUUACUGUAGUAAAGAUGUUGGCUAUGAUGUUUAAGUACUUCAUUAAGUUCACUUGUUUGGGAUAGCAUUUUGGCCUCUUAUGCCUGGAAGAUUCUUUAAUUUGGUUUGAGAAGAUAAUUACUUGCCUUUGUUUUUUACUGUUCGUAUGAUAUAUAAUUUAUUUGGUACUGCCAAUGGUUUGCCUAUGAUUUGUGGAAUUUGAUUGCAAAACUUGUUUUGUUUAGCAUGGGAUCUUACAGUGUUACUCUUUCCUAGCAGAUAACUAUAUAUGCUGUAAGUUGCUUUUUGUGGUUAACUGAGAAGAUGAAAAUCCUAAUGAAAUGAUUUUCAUGUCAGUAUAAAUGCCCUGGACCAGUGGGGAUAGUCUUUAGAUGCUACAAACAUGUAGUAAUCAAAACUUAGAUUUAGGGGAUAUAGUUUUUCUGGAAUGAUACUUGAUGUAUAACUGAAAAUUUGUGAGUUUGAUUCAUGCAGAUUGAUGUUUUCCUAAUAUGCUCGAAUGCAAUGCAGUAUAAUGCACCAGAUACAAUUUACUUUCGACAGGUUUGUCUAGGUCUCAAUUGUAUUAAUUCCUUUGUCAUGAUACUGUGGUCUCUGUUAUUUUAAACGUCUGGAUUGGAUGGUUAGGCACGAUCAAUGCAGGAGUUGGCUAGAAAGGACUUUGAGAAUUUGAGGCAAGAUAGUGAUGAAGGUGAACCACAAGUGAAAGUUGUGAGGAGAGGAAGGCCACCUGGAAAGAGCCUCAAAAAGUCAUUGGUUUCAUCGUCAUCUAUUGACCAUGUUGGUUCUGAGUACUCCUCAGAUGCAGCACUAGCUGCUGGACGAGAUGCUUCUAGCCUUUCAAACACUUACAAUUUGAGGAAAGCACCUAAUUCCCUCAAACUACGGCCUGCUGAUACAUUUAUCAGGCCCUCCUGGGGUUCUCCUAGCAAAGAAAAUCAUGCCAUUUGUUCAUCUGAAUGGGAGAAUGAAUUUCCAGGUUUGGUAUUUAUCUGACUUUAUAUACAUAUCCUUAAGUCUUUAGCUUUUUUAAUGUAAAAUGUUAUUUACUACAUAUUUUCUGUAUUUCAUAUUGAGCUAUUUUUCUUUCGUUUUGUAGCUUCUGUUGUGAGGGCUGUGAUGAAGUAUGGGAUGAAACAUUUUGCAGUAGAUGAGAACAGGCGUGACACCUACAACCACUCAUCGACUUCUGGACAUGAGCAACAUACCUUUUCCACCUUGGAUGGAGAAUUGAAGCAACUAAUUCCGGUGCGUUUUAUGUUUGUAUAAUGGCAAUAACAGUUAUUAAUGCAUUAGUUAGAAGAUUAUUGUAUGAGCUGUAUAGCUAGAAUGUUUGAUCUACCUUAGACUCAUUGAGCGCAGCUAAGGAAUCCUAAACUUUUUGUUUAUUAAUAAAUUGUAUACAAAAGUUGUGGUGCAGGUGGGUUUGCCCUGGUAAUUUGAUAUGUUUAUAUAACUAGCUAAAAGGGUGUUUGAAUAUUCUGACAACUAGUGUUUAUGAGGGAACAAUACAAAACUAUCCAGAUCAGUGGCAGAAUAGAAUGCUCAAUCCCUUAUAUUGACUAAUUAUUUUUAUCUCCCUCGAUUUUAUUUUGGUCAAUUAUAUUGUUUAUCAGGUUAGUUUGACUGCAGAAAAUGGUAACCCUUUUUCCCCCUUUCAUUGUCUGUCAGGUUGGUUUGAGUGCAGAAAAUGGUUAUGCUACAAGCUUGGCACGUUUUGCUGCAAAUCUUGGACCAGUUGUUUGGAAAAUUGCUUCAAGGAAAAUUGAAAGUGUUUUGCCUAGAGGACUCAAGUUUGGUCCUGGAUGGGUUGGAGAAAACAGGACAGUUGAGCAACCACAAUGUUCCUUUUCUGAUAAGCAGAGAUCUCCGAAUUCUCUAUCUGAUAACCCUCCUGGCAGAUUUUUAUCAACAGCUACUUCUGGUUCAAACUCCAUUGCUGCAAGUAGAUUUCCUUUGCAAGGUAGAGAAGACAUGGAAGCUGUCAGAGGCCUAACUUCUCAAAAUGACUCGACUUCUGCACCUUCUCAUCAGUUUCAGCAAAGUCUUGUUCCACACUCGGGUAUCAAUGGUUCUAUUGGUGGGUUUGGGUUUGGUUACUCCUCUCAAACGGGGUUGGUAACACAGUGUGUAAAUUCUUUGUCUGAAAAGACUACAGUGCCGACUCAAACACACGACAUGAUUUCGGGUGCUAGUGAUUUUCUUCCGAAAGAGGCCAAGUUGGCAGAUAGUUCAAUCGCUUUACAUUCUGGAAAUGCAAUGGCUGUGGAGCCUGAAAUGGUGUCACAUGCGGUGGCAACUAAUGUCGGGCUUCAGCGGAGUUCCUAUAAUGAACCGAAUUUCCUUCAAUUUGCUCCUGAUCUUAAUGUGAGAUUUCUGGCACCGGGUUCACCUAGUUCUAGUGUGCCAAUUGGUUCACCCCAGCGCCCUGAUUUAGCAUUGCAACUCUAAUAAUCAGCUUCCAUAUGAUGUGGCUUGUAUGUGCUAAUUGUAGUAUUAGGUCAAGUACGCCUGUAUAUGAUGAUAAGAUUUGGUCGAAAUUUACUUACUACAUUCUUCAUUGGAAGGUCGGUUGAGUAGUGGUUCCUCAAGAAGUCAUAGGAUCAGAUUGUAGGGGAGAUUUUGUAUAGAUUGAUAUAUCAAAUUCUUUCAUAGGGUUAAAAAAUUACAGAUUUAUAUACGAUAUCUAACAUGUUAUAUUUUGAGUUGUUAAUGAAUAUUGUUACCAAUACUACUACUGGUAUUACGUACGAGAUAUCAUUCAUGUCAUGAAUUAUGAAAUGUUCAUGUUUGGAGCAAUGAAGUAGUGCUUAAACUAGUUGAUGCAAAAUUGAGGGCAACUGAUACUGAAAACUUUGCCAAGGGAGUUUGAGUGAUGUUAUGUAAAUUGCAAUUAUAUAUACAUGUGCAUAUAUAAUUAUAUUAUAUAUGUUGAGAGCAUGUAUGCAGUUCUCUUGUUAGUUCUGUAUCAGUGUUAAUUUGUUUCCUUCCUCCGCUCCCACAUUGAGAUACCAGUCCAGGCAGAGAAUUUCUUGAAAAUAUAAUAUCAUAGUUUUCGUGAUCUUGUAUAAGUUGUCCUGGCAUAUUUCUAGUUGCAUCCUAGUUACAUAUGCUGUCCUCGCAUAUUCAUCCUUUAAGAGGUAAGGUCGGGGCAGUAGUAGUCAUUUUCCAAGAUCAAUAGUGAAGAGAAUUGUUUAUUUGAACAAUAGCAUGCAUUAUGUUAAAAAAAUCUCAAUCAUUCACUGUACAAUAAUGGCCAGGUUUGGAAAUAUAUUCUAUGCCGCCUAAAAUAGCCAUGGUGGCCACCUAAUGCUUGGCGUUUUUGCAUACAUCAGACAAUAGUGGAAUCUUAGUUUAGAGGGACUUCAAAGCCUCCCAUAUUUUUGUUUGGCAAACUGGAGCAGAGCCCUUUGGAAGAUUAUAGGAGUCUUAACUGUGUUGCGCUCACACCAUCUACAUGUAUCAUCAUUACUUGAGACCAAAUCUAGUUACAUCAUCUGUCCUAAAUCGUCUUGUUAUUUCAUGCAGUAAAGCUUUAAACUGCCAUUUACUUCGCAUGCGGAGAAGUAUAUUCUCAGCGCCGUACGUGACCUCUACCCUUUGAGUUUGAGCAUCCAAAUCUUGAGCAAAUUGGCCAGUAUUCUUUGUAAUUAUGGGUUGUAUAAUUGUCAGGGAUAAGCUGUUCUUAUGGAAUCUAAGGCUCUUUGAUCUUGGGAAGAGCUAUAGUUCGUCCUGACUUAAGACAUGCAGUUCUGCAUCACUUGUGACUCUUUCCAGGUCACCACCCCAGAGUUCUCUCCUCCUAUAAGACCUUCAUUACCAGACAUGCUAAACUUUGAAGGCUGGUUCGUUCCAUAACAACAGCUAUGACUUGAACCGGAACUCAGGCUACACGAGGAGCAAGGUGAAUUUGAAGUACAGCUUGGGUCCCGAAAUUACCAUCCUCAGCCAGCUUUGUGAUUCUUUUCAAGGUUGUGGGGCACGCUAAAAAAUAUUGAAAGGAAACCGGAAAGGACAUCAAAUUAUAGAGCAAUGAUAGCCAACAGUAUGCAAUUAUGUUCAUUAGUAUCCCAUACCAUGCUAUAUGACAGGGAUACUUACUGAAACACAUAGGUACCAAAUAAACCAGAAGGAAAAUAACAAGCCAACAUGGUAACAUUAACAUACAGCUUCUACUUUUUCUUUUUUUCUGUCUUCAACUUUCAACAGAAACUCCUUUUAAUCUAAAAUUAUUAGCUGUUUGUCUACCAAGCUUACACCACAACCAAAACAUCCAUUAACACUUAGCACCAAUGCUUUUUGCUUCAUCGUUUAGUCUUCCAGCAACAUAUUAGCGAGGAACCAGCAAAGUGAUUGUUUUUUCUGCCUUGCUACGCCUCUACUCUCUCUUUUUUCGUUUCCCCUUUGCAAGGUGAUGUUAUAAAAUGUUGUUGUUCAAAUUAUCUGCCUUAUGUGCUUGGUUAUGAUGGAACAAAUUUCCAGCUUGUGCUAUCUUGUUUGUUAGUCAAAACCUGAUGCAAUGAAAUGGAUGAAUACAAGAAUUGCUAAUUAUGAUAAGCUGUUGAUGCUUUUUGCUAAAGAUACAGAAAAGAGGGAUGGGGCUAAAGGGGGUCACUUGGGCAGCCCAAUAGGUGGCCGAGUAUCUGAUGGUAUCCCUUUGCAAGAUGUAGUUGGUGCAAGUAUGGAGGAAAAAGACACGAAUGAUACCAGCCAAGUUGGUUCGCAAGCACCAUCCCAGUCAACAACAUCAUUGAAACCGAAAAAAAAGUGAAAGGCGACAAGAGUUGAAGUAUUUGAAAGGGAGUUACAAGCAUAAGGGAAGCGAUUAAAGGUGUUGCAGAAGAAUGUUAUAGCCGAGAGAGGACAACCACGCGUUUACUCGGAGCAGGAAGUAUUCGCAGAAUUAGUGAACAUAGGUGUUGAAAUAUAGUUGCGGAACUUGUGGUAUAAGGCAUAUAUUUUCCUUAGUGCAAACGCUGGGAGGGUGAGAGCCGUUUUUGGUUGCUCAGCUGAGGAGCGAAAGGAAUUUUUAUUGCAGAUGAUGUAUACUAGUUCUGGAGACCCGGCAUAUUAAAAAUUUAUUAGCUAGUUAGGAUUCUUUCUUUCAUUAGGCUUGAAGAUGGGACGGCAUGUGUGCGUUUGCGAAAAGGAAGGGAUUUUGUACAUAAGAUAAGAUGAUUCAUAAUUUAUGAUAUGAUAGGGUAAAGCUAUUUUUACUUUUUAUUUGGUAUAUUAGUUGAAUACCACUACUAGUACAGAAUCUAAAUGGUUUUGAAAGAUACAACUUUGCCUCUUUGAAAAAUUCUAAAAACAAACUCUUUAAUAUCAAGUUUUCAUUAACUUUAUUGAGAGUUAAAUUCAAAGGUGACUGGUCGUAAUAAUUUAUAUGGAAGUGUGCUGAGAAUUGUUGCAUGUUGACAGUGUCCAAGAAGAGAAAAUGGUAAAUUGUGUGGUUGAAGGGAAAAUUUACAUGCCCUUGCACAAGUUUCAUGGUCCUUAAUGUAUAAACCUUGUGUGUUCUUCGUGUUGCCAGCUAUCCUUUUAAUUGGGAUGCUUGGUGGGUCAUGGUAUUGCUUAAGUACGUGUCUUUGAUGACUAUGGAAAGUCACACACACACACACACACACAUAUAUAUAUAUAUAUAUAUAUAAAUCCACCUAUGUUUGUUGUGAUGGGACUGUGCGAAGUCCUAUGUCAUAUGAUUUGUCAUAUGAUUAGUUAAAUAUUUUAACAAAACAUAAUCUUCUUCUAAGGCAAAGUAAAACGUGGUAUCUUUAAGGAUGAGAUGUGAAUUAUGUGAGGUAUACUUAUGCUUAAGUAUAAUAAUUACUCCCAAUUUAAAAGAGAGUUAUAAAAUAACAUUUCUUGAGAUAAAAUGUACAAUAUAUAAUUGUGUUGUAAGAUAUACAUAGUAAUUGAAUAAUGUAUCUAUAAAUUUAAAGAGUGCUGUGUUUGGGGAAAACACAUUAAGUGGAUUAAUGACGUAAAAAAGGUAUAUAUAAAGUAAAUUGUGGCCUACUUGUUAAGAUACAAUUGGCCAUGAUAGACUGUCAUUCCAUGUAUUGUUUUAUUAUUGACAAUUGAAUAAAACUUGAUGAAGAUGUCACGAAAUUUUUUUUGAAACUUUUAGAUUUUUUUUCUUAGAGUUAAAAAAUAUCAGUGAUGAUAUUCUAGCGAUCUUUCUAUAAUGUGAAGGUUUUAGGUGGACCAAAAAAGAUUUUUAGGUGAAGUUUUUAAUCUUUUCUUGAUGUUUGUUGUUUAUAGAUUUUCUUGUUACUAUUUCGAAUAUGGGUUUGGUUGGGAUUUGUAGUUUUUGAGGUAGGGCUUCUUUAUUUUGUAUUUCAUAGUGGGAUUUGGGAUAAUUUUGGUGAUAAUGGCUGGUAAGGGAAAAAAGAAGAAAAAUGUGAAAAAGAAAAGGAAAAAGCUACGAAAGUGAAGAAAGCAGAAAAAGAAAGGAAAAUAAGAAUCCUUAUAACGACUGAUAAAUUGGAAUGUACCAUUAGGGGAGCCGAGAUGCGAACAAUAUUGAAUUGUAGAAGUUUUUAGUACCCCGAGGAAGUAAUUGCCUCAGUGAGGUAUAAGCUACAACGCAAGGUGGUAGUAAAGAAAUUUUCUUCUAUUAUAUGUGUUUGAGUCAAGGUUUCAUCCUCUGCAUAUGUUCUUCGUUGAGGUGUUGAAUUAUUAUGGAUUCUGGGGCAAUCAGUAGAAAUAUUGUAGUGGAAUUAGAUAACUUACUUUAUACAUUGUCAAAAGCAUGGUGAAUUACGCUUUUAAAAAAUAUAUAUUAGCUGAGAAAUACUGGUGAAGUAUGUUGUUCUUCAUGGUAUUACGAGGAGAAAACUUAAUUUUGGACAAUAGAAAUCAUUUAUGAUAUUUAUAAUAAUAAAUUAUAAACUGAAUUAUUAUCCAUGUUUCAAGUAAGAUAAUCUAAAUUAUUUCCUAACUUUUUUACAAAACAAUCUUUUCGGCAGAAAAUUAUAUCAUUAUUUUAAAAUUUCAAAAAAAAAAAGUUUUGUUGGAUUUUAGACAGGUGUCGGCAGACGGAAUGGUUUGGACACUACUAGCGUAUAGACGUAUCGAUAAUACCAGAAAUCGAAAGCUUGUUUAGAGAGGAAAAAAAAAAAGGCGAAAAAGAAAAAAGCAAUGGGAGGUGAUAUUGGUGGUGAGAUAGCAGCGGAGACAAUGAAGAAGAGGAAGAAGAAGGGAAGGCCCUCUCUCUUAGAGCUUCAAAAACGCUCUCUCAAACAACAACGACUUCAGGAGCCGCAGCAACCGCAAUUGCUUCUUCAAAAUACCCCUAAUUCUUCUAUCAAUUCGAACCGCCGAUCCACUCGCCGCCACGCAAAUCUCAACGGUGGGUCCCCAGUUUCCGGAUCGACUUCCGGAGGAGACGACGACGACGACGAUGACCGCCUACAGAAGAAGCAUAAACCAUUGCUUGGCUUCAAUUCUUCUCGUACUGAUCAGCAUUAUCCGAUUCCUUCGGCGCUCAAUUCGGCCUCCUAUGGGUCCGAUUCGAAUGCGGAUGAUGACGAUCCCGACGC